UCAUCAAUGUGAAUACAAAGCCAAAUCCUUACUUGCUUACAACACUAAGAAGAGUCAUAAUAAAAGAACCAACUGGAAAUCUCAAGGGUUGAUUCAUGGUCUCACUGCUCCAAGCUGAGAGGAAAGUUAUAACAGUUCCUGGAGUCAGCUGUGGGGUCCUGAAUUCUUGAUCCUCUGGCCAUGGAGAUAUCCAAAAAGGGAACAACACAACCUAUUGUUGGUCAUUUAGAAUUAAGAAGAAAAGAAAAUCAUUUCUGAGGAAGUCCAGACAAAAGAACUUGGACUAAGGAUGAUUAUAGCCGUUGUUUACCCUUGAAAUUGUUCUGGGUAUUAAGCUAUCUAUAUUCCCUCUCCUUUUACUUCAUUCACAAGGCAAAGCAUUCCCGGCAUCACAACGUUGGUGAGUCUCCUCUGCUUUUGCUGCAUAAUAGUUUCCCAGUGAGAAGGGAUAUGAAACGUGGCAGGGGUGAAGGAGACAUACUACGAGACCGUUUCUUUCCUUUCAUUUCCUGGAGCCAAUCUGAAUGAAGACCCAGAGAGGAACGGAAGAAAUGGAGCUGCCAAAACCAGACAAUGGGAGAAAGAAAGUGAGGAGAUGAGAAGAACGGGCACCAAAAGCAUCCUGGGAUGAGCAUGAGAAGAAGCUGGAGAUUUGUCAUUUUCAUUGUUAUCAUUUUCUGUUGUAUUUUAAAUCUGAGAGCUUUUAUGGAGGAAGUAUACACACUUUUCAUAUAAUGGCUUAGAGGAAAUUUAUCUUUAGUUUAAUGCACCUGUUCCUCAUUGGACUUUUUCGUCCAUUUAUUCCUUAGCACUGAAAAGACUCAUAGGCAAAACAAAACAAAACAAAACUCUCUAUAAGUGCAAUAGCGAAUUCUAAUUAUUUUUCAAGUUUAUUCAGUUAUUAUAG
Balaenoptera musculus (blue whale) is the source of this 907-nucleotide long non-coding RNA. RefSeq lists it as uncharacterized. The record is from RefSeq and is a predicted model, not a curated record. Lineage: Eukaryota; Metazoa; Chordata; Mammalia; Artiodactyla; Balaenopteridae. The transcript is spliced from 3 exons.